GGGACAUGACGAUACCAGAGAAUGGUUUCACUUUCUUAAGCUGAUGUCAUGUGAUGAUACAUUUCUCUUGGCUGUCUGAUCCU
Molecule: small nucleolar RNA, 83 nt
Organism: Xyrauchen texanus (razorback sucker)
Lineage: Eukaryota; Metazoa; Chordata; Actinopteri; Cypriniformes; Catostomidae
Product: small nucleolar RNA SNORD53/SNORD92
Exons: 1
Source: RefSeq, a predicted model, not a curated record